This 75-nucleotide antisense RNA is filed under the name Streptomyces albidoflavus. RNAcentral describes it as "ASpks TB sRNA". It matches the Rfam family "ASpks TB sRNA". The record is from RNAcentral. RNAcentral also lists the same sequence under 1 other name. Lineage: Bacteria; Bacillati; Actinomycetota; Actinomycetes; Kitasatosporales; Streptomycetaceae.
CUUCACCGAGCCGAGCAGCAACGGCCGCUCCUCGGGCCGGUCCUGGCCGUACGUGGCGAGGAGGGCCUGGGCCUC